This 282-nucleotide long non-coding RNA is filed under the name Pan troglodytes (chimpanzee). RNAcentral describes it as "long non-coding RNA NONPTRT008519". The record is from RNAcentral. Lineage: Eukaryota; Metazoa; Chordata; Mammalia; Primates; Hominidae.
AAUUGUUGGAGUUAGAGAGUGAAGAGGAGAGAAGCCGGAAAAUCCAGGGACUCCUGAAGUCGUGUGGGAAACCUGUCGAGGACUUCAUCCAGGAGCUGCUGGCAAAGCUUCAAGGCCUCCACAGGCAGCCCGGCCUCCGCCAGCCCAGCCCCUCCCACGACGGCAGCCUCAGCCCCCUCCAGGACCGGGCCCGGACUGCUCACCCCUGACCCUCUUGCACUCUCCCUGCCCCCCUGGACGCCGCCCAGCUUGCUUGUGUAUAAGUUAUAUUUAAUGGUUCUG